GCCUGGGUGGCUCAGUCGGUUAAGCGACUGACUUCAACUCAGGUGAUGAUGAUCUCUUGGUUCGUGAGUUUGAGCCCCGCCUCGGGCU
Molecule: transfer RNA, 88 nt
Filed under: Felis catus (domestic cat)
Lineage: Eukaryota; Metazoa; Chordata; Mammalia; Carnivora; Felidae
Rfam family: tRNA
About the family: Transfer RNA (tRNA) molecules are approximately 80 nucleotides in length. Their secondary structure includes four short double-helical elements and three loops (D, anti-codon, and T loops). Further hydrogen bonds mediate the characteristic L-shaped molecular structure. tRNAs have two regions of fundamental functional importance: the anti-codon, which is responsible for specific mRNA codon recognition, and the 3' end, to which the tRNAs corresponding amino acid is attached (by aminoacyl-tRNA synthetases). tRNAs cope with the degeneracy of the genetic code in two manners: having more than one tRNA (with a specific anti-codon) for a particular amino acid; and 'wobble' base-pairing, i.e. permitting non-standard base-pairing at the 3rd anti-codon position.
Source: Rfam by way of RNAcentral